This 253-nucleotide ribosomal RNA is filed under the name uncultured bacterium. Its description in RNAcentral is "partial 16S ribosomal RNA". It matches the Rfam family "Bacterial small subunit ribosomal RNA", at positions 524 to 776 of the family's 1533-position model. The record is from RNAcentral.
UACGUAGGGUGCGAGCGUUAAUCGGAAUUACUGGGCGUAAAGAGUGCGCAGGCGGUUUUGCAAGACCGAUGUGAAAUCCCCGGGCUUAACCUGGGAACUGCAUUGGUGACUGCAAGGCUAGAGUGUGUCAGAGGGAGGUGGAACUCCGCAUGUAGCAGUGAAAUGCGUAGAUAUGCGGAAGAACACCGAUGGCGAAGGCAGCCUCCUGGGAUAACACUGACGCUCAUGCACGAAAGCGUGGGGAGCAAACAGG